This 254-nucleotide ribosomal RNA is filed under the name uncultured bacterium. Its description in RNAcentral is "partial 16S ribosomal RNA". It matches the Rfam family "Bacterial small subunit ribosomal RNA", at positions 524 to 776 of the family's 1533-position model. The record is from RNAcentral.
UACGUAGGGUGCAAGCGUUGUCCGGAAUUAUUGGGCGUAAAGAGCUCGUAGGCGGUCUGUCGCGUCGGCUGUGAAAACCUGGGGCUUAACUCCGGGCCUGCAGCCGAUACGGGCAGACUAGAGUUCGGCAGGGGAGACGUGGAAUUCCUGGUGUAGCGGUGAAAUGCGCAGAUAUCAGGAGGAACACCGGUGGCGAAGGCGGGUCUCUGGGCCGAUACUGACGCUGAGGAGCGAAAGCGUGGGGAGCAAACAGG